AAUAAUGCACACAGGUGGUGCAUGGUUGUCGUCAGCUCGUGUCGUGAGAUGUUGGGUUAAGUCCCGCAACGAGCGCAACCCUUGUCGCAUGUUACCAGCAGUAAGAUGGGGAGUGAUGCGAGACUGCCGGUGAUAAACCGGAGGAAGGCGGGGAUGACGUCAAAUCAUCAUGCCCCUUAUGGCCUGGGCGACACACGUACUACAAUGGCGACUACAGAGGGAAGCGAGACAGUGAUGUUAAGCGGACCCCAAAAAGGUCGUCCCAGUUCGGAUUGAAGUCUGCAACUCGACUUCAUGAAGCCGGAAUCGCUAGUAAUCGCAGAUCAGCAUGCUGCGGUGAAUACGUUCUCGGGCCUUGUACACACCGCCCGUCAAACCAUGGGAGUCGGUAAUGCCCGAAGCCGGUGGCAUAACCUAGAAAUAGGAGUGAGCCGUCGAAGGCAGGACUGAUGACUGGGGUUAAGUCGUAACAAGGUAACCGU
This 482-nucleotide ribosomal RNA is filed under the name uncultured bacterium. RNAcentral describes it as "bacterial SSU rRNA". It matches the Rfam family "Bacterial small subunit ribosomal RNA", at positions 1024 to 1503 of the family's 1533-position model. The record is from RNAcentral.